GGCUGGGUAGCUCAGUUGGUACGAGCGUCCGCCUGAAAAGCGGAAGGUCGCCGGUUCGAUCCCGGCCCCAGCCACCU
This 77-nucleotide transfer RNA is filed under the name Streptomyces sp. 8K308. RNAcentral's name for it is "tRNA-Phe". It matches the Rfam family "tRNA". Rfam says of the family: Transfer RNA (tRNA) molecules are approximately 80 nucleotides in length. Their secondary structure includes four short double-helical elements and three loops (D, anti-codon, and T loops). The record is from RNAcentral. Lineage: Bacteria; Bacillati; Actinomycetota; Actinomycetes; Kitasatosporales; Streptomycetaceae.